UGAGGAAUAUUGGUCAAUGGGUGCAAGCCUGAACCAGCCAUCCCGCGUGAAGGACGACUGCCCUAUGGGUUGUAAACUUCUUUUGUAUAGGGAUAAACCUACCCUCGUGAGGGUAGCUGAAGGUACUAUACGAAUAAGCACCGGCUAACUCCGUGCCAGCAGCCGCGGUAAUACGGAGGGUGCAAGCGUUAUCCGGAUUUAUUGGGUUUAAAGGGUCCGUAGGCGGACUUAUAAGUCAGUGGUGAAAGCCUGUCGCUUAACGAUAGAACUGCCAUUGAUACUGGAAGUCUUGAGUAUAUUUGAGGGUGCUGGAAGAAGUAGUGUAGCGGUGAAAUGCAUAGAUAUUACUUAGAACACCAAUUGCGAAGGCAGGUUACCAAGAUAUAACUGACGCUGAGGGACGAAAGCGUGGGGAGCGAACA
RNAcentral lists this ribosomal RNA (422 nucleotides) under uncultured bacterium. RNAcentral describes it as "bacterial SSU rRNA". It matches the Rfam family "Bacterial small subunit ribosomal RNA", at positions 355 to 774 of the family's 1533-position model. The record is from RNAcentral.